UACGUAGGAUGCAAGCGUUGUCCGGAAUUAUUGGGCGUAAAGAGCGCGUAGGCGGUCUAUCAAGUCAGAUGUGAAAUAUCCCGGCUUAACCGGGAGGGGUCAUUUGAAACUGGUAGACUAGAGUACAGCAGAGGAUAGUGGAAUUCCCGGUGUAGUGGUGAAAUGCGUAGAUAUCGGGAGGAACACCAGUGGCGAAGGCGGCGACCUGGGUAGAUACUGACGCUGAGGCGCGAAAGCGUGGGGAGCAAACAGG
RNAcentral lists this ribosomal RNA (253 nucleotides) under uncultured bacterium. RNAcentral's name for it is "partial 16S ribosomal RNA". It matches the Rfam family "Bacterial small subunit ribosomal RNA", at positions 524 to 776 of the family's 1533-position model. The record is from RNAcentral.